Molecule: ribosomal RNA, 1026 nt
Filed under: Leptotrombidium akamushi
Lineage: Eukaryota; Metazoa; Arthropoda; Arachnida; Trombidiformes; Trombiculidae
Rfam family: Archaeal large subunit ribosomal RNA (bases 639-933)
Source: RNAcentral
AAAACGAAGAAUAUAAUUUUAGGUUAGUCCAUUUCAAUAAAUUGAUUUAACAAAAAUAAAAUAUUCCUUUUGCAUAAGGAGAGCAAAAUAGAGAAAAAUAUACUUUUCCGAAAGUUUUUGAGCAAAGACAAUUAAAUUUGAAAGUGGCACAUUUUUUUGUCUUAGUAGAUAUAAUCUUUUCGAAAAAGCUAAUAUCUGAUCAUUUAACAAUCAUAAAAGGAAAGCCUUUAGAAACAGAGUUUAAUUUAAUUUCUUCUAUGAAUUGCUAACAGUGUUUAAGAUUUUUCAUAAAACAAUUACAACAAUUCCUAUCAACUCCCAAAUAAAAGAUAAUAAAUUAAAAUUUUCUUACUAGUAUAAUAAAAUUACCAAAACUAAUUAUUGAACAAAACUAUCUAAAGAUAUUUAUAAAAAACUAAAAGAAAGUCCUUUUGAACGCUUAACAAAAACUUUUCUAUUAAAAUUAAUAGAACUCCCCGCCAAUUGAUAUUAUAAAAGGCCGAAGGAAUUUUUACUUCGCGAAGGUAGCGUAAUAAUUUGACUAUUUAUUGUAGCCCAGAAUGAGUGGGAAAACAAAAGGAUUCUUUUUAAUAAAUAAAAAUAGAAACUAAUCUUUCCUUGAAAAUCAGGAGAGAAUUUUUUUAGACGAAAAGACCCCAGGAUCUUAUACUUUUAAAAAGUUUUAUUGGGGCAAUAUUUUUCUAAUGAAGAGAAUAAUAAUUUCAAUCCCUGUUUUUAACAAAAUAAAGAUACCCUGGGGAUAACAGGGUAAUUUUCUAAAAGAGACCCUAUCUAAUAGAAAGAUUUCUACCUCGAUGUUGGCUUUCCUAUCACUUUUAGGGGAAGAAUAUUAAAAGGAAAGUCUGUUCGACUUUUAAUAGGAACAUGAGCUGAGUUCAAGUCGGCAAGAGCCAGACUGGUUUUUAUCUAAAAAUAAAUAAGAAGAAUCCAGUACGAAAGGACAAGUUCUUCUCUCUGAGAGAGAAGACAAACCUUGAAUUAAAAUUUUCAAAAAAUGUGUCAUGA